GACGAACGCUGGCGGCGUGCUUAACACAUGCAAGUCGAACGGAAAGGCCCUGCUUUUGUGGGGUGCUCGAGUGGCGAACGGGUGAGUAACACGUGAGUAACCUGCCCUUGACUUUGGGAUAACUUCAGGAAACUGGGGCUAAUACCGGAUAGGAGCUCCUGCUGCAUGGUGGGGGUUGGAAAGUUUCGGCGGUUGGGGAUGGACUCGCGGCUUAUCAGCUUGUUGGUGGGGUAGUGGCUUACCAAGGCUUUGACGGGUAGCCGGCCUGAGAGGGUGACCGGCCACAUUGGGACUGAGAUACGGCCCAGACUCCUACGGGAGGCAGCAGUGGGGAAUAUUGCACAAUGGGCGGAAGCCUGAUGCAGCAACGCCGCGUGCGGGAUGACGGCCUUCGGGUUGUAAACCGCUUUCGCCUGUGACGAAGCGUGAGUGACGGUAAUGGGUAAAGAAGCACCGGCUAACUACGUGCCAGCAGCCGCGGUGAUACGUAGGGUGCGAGCGUUGUCCGGAUUUAUUGGGCGUAAAGGGCUCGUAGGUGGUUGAUCGCGUCGGAAGUGUAAUCUUGGGGCUUAACCCUGAGCGUGCUUUCGAUACGGGUUGACUUGAGGAAGGUUAGGGGAGAAUGGAAUUCCUGGUGGAGCGGUGGAAUGCGCAGAUAUCAGGAGGAACACCAGUGGCGAAGGCGGUUCUCUGGGCCUUUCCUGACGCUGAGGAGCGAAAGCGUGGGGAGCGAACAGGCUUAGAUACCCUGGUAGUCCACGCUGUAAACGGUGGGUACUAGGUGUGGGGUCCAUUCCACGGGUUCCGUGCCGUAGCUAACGCUUUAAGUACCCCGCCUGGGGAGUACGGCCGCAAGGCUAAAACUCAAAGGAAUUGACGGGGCCCCGCACAAGCGGCGGAGCAUGCGGAUUAAUUCGAUGCAACGCGUAGAACCUUACCUGGGUUUGACAUGGAUCGGGAGUGCUCAGAGAUGGGUGUGCCUCCUUUGGGGUCGGUUCACAGGUGGUGCAUGGCUGUCGUCAGCUCGUGUCGUGAGAUGUUGGGUUAAGUCCCGCAACGAGCGCAACCCUUGUUCACUGUUGCCAGCACGUUAUGGUGGGGACUCAGUGGAGACCGCCGGGGUCAACUCGGAGGAAGGUGGGGAUGACGUCAAGUCAUCAUGCCCCUUAUGUCCAGGGCUUCACGCAUGCUACAAUGGCUGGUACAGAGAGUGGCGAGCCUGUGAGGGUGAGCGAAUCUCGGAAAGCCGGUCUCAGUUCGGAUUGGGGUCUGCAACUCGACCUCAUGAAGUCGGAGUCGCUAGUAAUCGCAGAUCAGCAACGCUGCGGUGAAUACGUUCCCGGG
RNAcentral lists this ribosomal RNA (1344 nucleotides) under uncultured bacterium. Its description in RNAcentral is "16S ribosomal RNA". It matches the Rfam family "Bacterial small subunit ribosomal RNA", at positions 28 to 1378 of the family's 1533-position model. The record is from RNAcentral.